Molecule: non-coding RNA, 47 nt
Organism: Aptenodytes forsteri (emperor penguin)
Lineage: Eukaryota; Metazoa; Chordata; Aves; Sphenisciformes; Spheniscidae
Source: Rfam
UCAAAGGCUCUUUUAAGAGCCACCCACCUCUCCAGUAAAAGAGCUCU